CUCACCCCGCAGUGUCACUGACACUAUGCUUCAUAUUUACUUGUUUGUUGACCGUCCCCUCCCUGUCUGCUUCCUGAGGCAGUGACUUUGCUCAUCCUCGUCACCGCUGUAUUCCCAGGGCCCAGUUGGGUGCCCAGCAGACGGUGGAUGCUCAGGAAAUAGCGGGGGGAUACAUUUUGCAGAAGGGGAAGCAGGCUCAGAGGGAGGGCGAUUUGCCCGAGAUUACACGGAGAAGAGAAGGCAGGACAGGGACUGGGGGAGGGACUGGGGCAGGGUCUGCGGCCCCGAGGCAGCUCUUCCCGGGGUUCCGGCCCCGUUGCUCAUCUGGACCGCCGGACCUGCACCGGAGCCGGCGCCCGGCUGGGUCCCACGGGGCCGGGACGGCGCGGCGACCCGGGAGCGGCCGGCAGAGGGCGCUGUCGACGCGCGUCCCCGGGAGGGAGGCGCGGGCCCGGGAGGCGAGGCCGCGGCGGGGCUGUAGGAGCCCGUGGGAGGCCUUCACCGGCCUGGGGACGGGUGCGGAGGGCGGCAGGCUUCCCGGGAGAUGACUUGUUGACCGCACCCCGAAGGGUGCAGUGCCAGGAGCAAUAGCAGCCAUCUUGCAAACAAGAGGAAAAAGCCAAGAGAAUUGCAGAGACACCAGCCCUGACAUCAUUUGCCUGGAAAAACAAUGCCAGCCAUAGCUGAUCUCCAAGCUCACCGUGAUAGGGGAAAAUAAACUCUUUGUCAAGCCACUGUGA
This 740-nucleotide long non-coding RNA is filed under the name Equus caballus (horse). RNAcentral describes it as "lncRNA (ENSECAG00000032753.2)". Lineage: Eukaryota; Metazoa; Chordata; Mammalia; Perissodactyla; Equidae. The record is from RNAcentral.